RNAcentral lists this ribosomal RNA (199 nucleotides) under uncultured bacterium. RNAcentral describes it as "partial 16S ribosomal RNA". It matches the Rfam family "Bacterial small subunit ribosomal RNA", at positions 328 to 539 of the family's 1533-position model. The record is from RNAcentral.
ACGCUCGACACCUACGGGAGGGCAGCAGUGGGGAAUAUUGCACAAUGGGGGAAACCCUGAUGCAGCGACGCCGCGUGAGUGAAGAAGUAUUUCGGUAUGUAAAGCUCUAUCAGCAGGGAANAAAAUGACGGUACCUGACUAAGAAGCCCCGGCUAACUACGUGCCAACAGCCGCGGUAAUCUGAGCGGGCUGGCAAGGC